RNAcentral lists this ribosomal RNA (440 nucleotides) under uncultured bacterium. RNAcentral's name for it is "bacterial SSU rRNA". It matches the Rfam family "Bacterial small subunit ribosomal RNA", at positions 338 to 795 of the family's 1533-position model. The record is from RNAcentral.
CCUANGGGGGGCAGCAGUAGGGAAUCUUGCGCAAUGGGCGAAAGCCUGACGCAGCAACGCCGCGUGCGGGAAGAAGGCCUUCGGGUUGUAAACCGCUUUUGGCAGGAACGAAAAUGACGGUACCUGCAGAAUAAGGUGCGGCCAACUACGUGCCAGCAGCCGCGGUGACACGUAGGCACCAAGCGUUGUCCGGAUUUAUUGGGCGUAAAGAGCUCGUAGGCGGUUCAGUAAGUCGGGUGUGAAAACUCUGGGCUUAACCCAGAGACGCCACCCGAUACUGCUGAACUAGAGUUCGGUAGGGGAGCGGGGAAUUCCUAGUGUAGCGGUGAAAUGCGCAGAUAUUAGGAGGAACACCGGUGGCGAAGGCGCCGCUCUGGGCCGAUACUGACGCUGAGGAGCGAAAGCGUGGGUAGCAAACAGGAUUAGAUACCCCANUANUC